GUCCUACGCGUUUCAUCCGUUGGGACUUCUUCAGGGAGCGAUACCCAUAUUAAUACAGUGCUUCCUCAAAUUAAUACACGACCCACUCCCUCCAGCCGUGGGAGGGGAGAUAAGAAGCAGACAGGCUCCAGUGCAGGAGGGCUGCAAAUAUAUUAAUUGUGGGCCGCAUGCGGGCCACGUGCCGCAUGUUUGACAUGCUUGCUCUACAUGGUCCACCCUUAGUGGGCUGUCCUGAAUGAUUGGCAUUCACUGAUGUGCAUUCACGCCAUACUGACCUGCCUAUUUUGUGAGUGUACUCGCCCUCUUUCUGGGUGGGACUGUCUCCUUUGGGUAUCACACAUGACAUCACUGUCUUCCACUUUUUACCCACCUCCCUGAUGUCUGGCUUUACUGGAUGCCAAUUUCAAGGGGGGGGGGGGUCAUUCAUACAGACCAACAACUUGGCAAUUAAAGUGACAAAGGACAUUAAGAUAGAAAAGUGGAACAGAGGGAUAUGGACCUAAAAUUCGAAGUGCUUGAAAAAAGUACAAUUCAGAAAGUUUUAAUUACGAGAUAAAAAUUGUGCUACUAUUUAUAAGCAGCAAUUCUUAUUUCUCUCAGAAUUACUUAUUUUCUUUUAGUUAUAUUCAAGAAUCUACCACCACUAGUCUCCUAAAGUUUACGUGAAAUUUAAGCACACCAUAUUACCUCUGAAUUUGGAUCAAAUAGCUGAACAAAUAAAUAGAUACAUAAAUAAAAUAUUUUAUCUGUGUCUCUGUGGCCUACAUAUUACCAGGAAGAAUCUAUAACCACCGAUACAAAUUGAG
Molecule: non-coding RNA, 806 nt
Organism: Pelobates cultripes (western spadefoot toad)
Lineage: Eukaryota; Metazoa; Chordata; Amphibia; Anura; Pelobatidae
Source: the annotation of a GenBank genome assembly